UACGUAGGGGGCUAGCGUUGUCCGGAAUCAUUGGGCGUAAAGAGCGUGUAGGCGGCCCGGUAAGUCCGCUGUAAAAGUCAAAGGCUCAACCUUUGAAUGUCAGUGGAUACUGCCGGGCUAGAGUCCGGAAGAGGCGAGUGGAACUCCUGGUGUAGCGGUGGAAUGCGCAGAUAUCAGGAAGAACACCAACGGCGAAGGCAGCUCGCUAGGACGGUAAUGACGCUGAGGUGCGAAAGCGUGGGGAGCAAACAGG
Molecule: ribosomal RNA, 253 nt
Filed under: uncultured bacterium
Lineage: Bacteria
Description: partial 16S ribosomal RNA
Rfam family: Bacterial small subunit ribosomal RNA
Source: RNAcentral